This 409-nucleotide ribosomal RNA is filed under the name uncultured bacterium. RNAcentral's name for it is "bacterial SSU rRNA". It matches the Rfam family "Bacterial small subunit ribosomal RNA", at positions 506 to 917 of the family's 1533-position model. The record is from RNAcentral.
UGCCAGCAGCCGCGGUAAGACGAACCGUGCGAACGUUGUUCGGAAUCACUGGGCUUAAAGGGCGCGUAGGCGGUCGGGCAAGUCCGGGGUGAAAUCCUGCAGCUUAACUGUAGAAGUGCCUUGGAUACUGCUCGGCUCGAGGGAGGUAGGGGUCUGUGGAACUUCUGGUGGAGCGGUGAAAUGCGUUGAUAUCAGAAGGAACGCCGGUGGCGAAAGCGGCAGACUGGACCUCUUCUAACGCUGAGGCGCGAAAGCUAGGGGAGCAAACGGGAUUAGAUACCCCGGUAGUCCUAGCCCUAAACGAUGAGCACUAGAUUGCAGACUAGUCAUGGGUUUGCAGUCGAAGCAAAAGUGUUAAGUGCUCCGCCUGGGGAGUAUGGUCGCAAGGCUAAACUCAAAGGAAUACGGG